GUGAAACCCUGUGGGAAGCAGGAGGGACCACCCUCCAAGGCUAAAUACUACCUAGUGACCGAUAGCGUAUAGUACCGUGAGGGAAAGGUGAAAAGAACCCCGGGAGGGGAGUGAAAUAGAACCUGAAACCCUGCACUUACAAGCUGUGGAAGCACAUUUCUUGUGUGACCGCGUACUUUUUGUAGAACGGGCCAACGAGUUACGUUAAGUAGCAAGGUUAAGCACUUAAGGUGCGGAGCCGUAGCGAAAGCGAGUUUUAACUGAGCGUUCAGUUACUUGACGUAGACCCGAAACCGGGCGACCUACCCAUGAGCAGGAUGAAGCGAAAGUAAAAUUUCGUGGAGGUCCGAACCCACGAGCGUUGAAAAGCUCGGGGAUGACUUGUGGGUAGCGGUGAAAUUCCAAUCGAGCCCGGAGAUAGCUGGUUCUCCCCGAAAUAGCUUUAGGGCUAGCCUCAAGGUGAGAGAUACGGAGGUAGAGCACUGAAUGUCCUAGGGGGUAUUGCACCUACCGAAGACUAUCAAACUCCGAAUGCCGUCAUCUUAUACUUGGGAGUCAGACUGUGGGUGAUAAGAUUCAUAGUCGAAAGGGCAACAGCCCAGAUCGUCAGCUAAGGUCCCUAAAUGUAAGUUAAGUGGUAAAGGAUGUGGGAUUGCACAGACAACCAGGAUGUUGGCUUAGAAGCAGCCACUCAUUCAAAGAGUGCGUAAUAGCUCACUGGUCGAGUGAUCCUGCGCCGAAGAUUUCCGGGGCUAAAACUUACUACCGAAGCUACGGCAUCAGUAAUGAUGGGUAGGGGAGCUUCCCAUACGGGUUGAAGCAUGACCGUAAGGACAUGUGGACAGUAUGGGAGUGAGAAUGUUGGCAUGAGUAGCGAGAUGUGGGUGAGAAUCCCACAGGCCGUAAACCCAAGGUUUCCAGGGGAAGGUUCGUCCGCCCUGGGUUAGUCGGGACCUAAGCUGAGGCCGAAAGGCGUAGGUGAUGGACAACAGGUUGAUAUUCCUGUAC
This 1008-nucleotide ribosomal RNA is filed under the name Clostridioides difficile. RNAcentral's name for it is "partial 23S ribosomal RNA". It matches the Rfam family "Bacterial large subunit ribosomal RNA", at positions 426 to 1444 of the family's 2925-position model. The record is from RNAcentral. Lineage: Bacteria; Bacillati; Bacillota; Clostridia; Peptostreptococcales; Peptostreptococcaceae.